Molecule: long non-coding RNA, 1084 nt
Organism: Topomyia yanbarensis
Lineage: Eukaryota; Metazoa; Arthropoda; Insecta; Diptera; Culicidae
Exons: 3
Source: RefSeq, a predicted model, not a curated record
CUAGGCGCCAGUUUGACGCUACAGAAUGAACUUUGUUUUUCAUUCUACGAGUUUUGAUUCGAGCAAACAACAUCCAACCGUGUUAUGCCCAGGACAGGUUAACUAAUUUCUAGCAGAGUAAAACUACGCAGUUGUACGAAAGCUUCCACUAAAUUUAUUCAGUUGCGCCGUUUAAAAAUUUAAAUAAAAGCAUGUCCAAUAGAACAAUUGCAAGUUAUUUUUGCGAAAUAAGAAAAACUUCUAGCAGCGGAUGGUGCCGCCACCAACAAGCCGAAUAAGCAUGCAGAGGCAACUAAAAUUAAAGGGAAUUAUAUCACUGAAAAAAGUGCUGAUAUAGGUGAAUGUGUGGCAGCAGAUGAUGUCAGCAAGUGUGCUGUAGUCUGUGACGUGAAUGUCAUUGGUAAAUGUUCUGAGUCAAUCGGUUUAACUGCUUCAGAUGGCCUAUCUACGACUCCUUGGUUGGACUCCAAUAUUUCAAACGUAAUUAGGAACGCAAGUGAGAUUGAGGAUUGUAUGUACUUGAUCAUACGUAUUUGCCGUCCAACGUGUACUAGUAAAACGAUUAUUAUAGUCUCCUUUGUACAAGUAACCCAAUAUUUAGUUACUUCAGUUUUUUAAACGUUAAGCUUUACGUUGAUCUUUGUCAGCGCAUAACAUGUAGAACAGUUGCCAUAAGAUAUUUAAGUUUGCAAUGUCCAGUCAUUGCCCUGACUAGACAAGACAACAAGAAUCGGUGCACAUUCUAGUCAGACCGAACUAAGUGACAAAAUAUUGGUUUCGAGAAAAACGGUUUUAAAGUUUGAAUCGCAGCAUCCGUUACGUUAUAAUUGGGAAUUAUUUUUUUUGUAAUCAUUCUUGUUUAUGGCUACAUAUUUCAAAUCUGGCAAAAGUCGAAUGUAGCUGAAGAAAUUCUUCACCCAGUGUUAUCAUUAUCUCAUUUUUUAUGUUUUGCGACUUAGUCCGGUCUGACUUAACGCCGACCAUAUCUAGCCCUGACUAGAAUACUGCAAUUGUACUUAAAAAAUUUAACAAAAUCCUCUUUUUCGGACUCACAUGCGGUAUUAAAGUUAUCUUUUACAGCAUA